Molecule: ribosomal RNA, 541 nt
Filed under: uncultured Gallionellaceae bacterium
Lineage: Bacteria; Pseudomonadati; Pseudomonadota; Betaproteobacteria; Nitrosomonadales; Gallionellaceae
Description: bacterial SSU rRNA
Rfam family: Bacterial small subunit ribosomal RNA
Source: RNAcentral
AGUGGGGGAUAACGUAGCGAAAGUUACGCUAAUACCGCAUAUGCCCUGAGGGGGAAAGGUGGGGAUCGCAAGACCUAUCGUUUUCGGAGUGGCCGAUAUCAGAUUAGCUAGUUGGUGGGGUAAAGGCCCACCAAGGCGACGAUCUGUAGCGGGUCUGAGAGGAUGAUCCGCCACACUGGGACUGAGACACGGCCCAGACUCCUACGGGAGGCAGCAGUGGGGAAUUUUGGACAAUGGGGGCAACCCUGAUCCAGCCAUGCCGCGUGAGUGAAGAAGGCCUUCGGGUUGUAAAGCUCUUUCAGCCGGAAAGAAAUCGCGCAGGCUAAUAUCCUGUGUGGAUGACGGUACCGGAAGAAGAAGCACCGGCUAACUACGUGCCAGCAGCCGCGGUAAUACGUAGGGUGCGAGCGUUAAUCGGAAUUACUGGGCGUAAAGCGUGCGCAGGCGGUUUUGUAAGACAGGCGUGAAGUCCCCGGGCUUAACCUGGGAACUGCGUUUGUGACUGCAAGGCUAGAGUGUGGCAGAGGGGGGUAGAAUUCCG